AACGAACGCUGGCGGCGCGCCUAAUACAUGCAAGUCGAGCGAGAAGACGUAGCAAUACGUUUGUAAAGCGGCGAACGGGUGAGGAAUACAUGGGUAACCUACCCUCGAGCGGGGAAUAACUAGCCGAAAGGUUAGCUAAUACCGCGUACGCUCCUUGGACUUCGGUUCAGGGAGGAAAGCGAUACCGUGGGUAUCGCGCUCUUGGAUGGGCUCAUGUCCUAUCAGCUUGUUGGUGAGGUAACGGCUCACCAAGGCUUCGACGGGUAGCUGGUCUGAGAGGACAAUCAGCCACACUGGCACUGCGACACGGGCCAGACUCCUACGGGAGGCAGCAGUAAGGAAUAUUGCGCAAUGGGCGAAAGCCUGACGCAGCGACGCCGCGUGGGGGAUGAAGGUCUUCGGAUUGUAAACCCCUUUCGGGAGGGAAGAUGGAACGAGCAAUCGUUCGGACGGUACCUCCAGAAGCAGCCACGGCUAACUUCGUGCCAGCAGCCGCAGUAAU
RNAcentral lists this ribosomal RNA (502 nucleotides) under uncultured bacterium. Its description in RNAcentral is "bacterial SSU rRNA". It matches the Rfam family "Bacterial small subunit ribosomal RNA", at positions 29 to 524 of the family's 1533-position model. The record is from RNAcentral.